RNAcentral lists this ribosomal RNA (319 nucleotides) under uncultured bacterium. Its description in RNAcentral is "bacterial SSU rRNA". It matches the Rfam family "Bacterial small subunit ribosomal RNA", at positions 28 to 334 of the family's 1533-position model. The record is from RNAcentral.
GAUGAACGCUAGCGACAGGCUUAACACAUGCAAGUCGAGGGGCAGCGGUGGUGAAGGCUUGCCUUCACCAGCCGGCGACCGGCGCACGGGUGAGUAACACGUAUGCAACCUGCCUGCCACAGCCGGAUAAUCGGGAGAAAUUCCGUCUAAUACGGCAUAAUGCAUCGACGGGACAUCCUGUUGGUGCCAAAGGUUAAUUCCGGUGGCGGAUGGGCAUGCGUCGCAUGAGUGAGUUGGCGGUGUAACGGACCACCAAGACGACGAUGCGUAGGGGUUCUGAGAGGAAGGUCCCCCACACUGGUACUGAGACACGGACCAG